AUACUACUCCCUCCGUCCGGCAAUACUUGUCAUCGAAAUGAAUAAAAAGGGGUGUAUCUAGAUGUAUUUUAGUUCUAGAUACAUCCUUUUUUUUAUUAAUUUUGAUGACAAGUAUUUUGGGACGGAGGGAGUACGUA
Non-coding RNA from Triticum aestivum (bread wheat), 137 nucleotides. Lineage: Eukaryota; Viridiplantae; Streptophyta; Magnoliopsida; Poales; Poaceae. The record is from Rfam.